Chelonoidis abingdonii (Abingdon island giant tortoise) is the source of this 672-nucleotide non-coding RNA. The record is from RefSeq and is a predicted model, not a curated record. NCBI's taxonomy places the organism in Eukaryota, Metazoa, Chordata, Testudines, Testudinidae.
GGCAUGUUAUUAACCUAUAUAACUGUCAGUGGCACAUUGACACAAAGGUCGGACAAGACAGGAUUUCCCCUAUGUGGCGGUGCUGGCACUUGGGGAGCUGUGAGGCCACACUCAGAAGGAAACUACACAUCGUGAAUUGAAAAUAAUCUUUGAUGACUGGAGGACUCUGGGCUCUUCCAUGCCAUCUUUGCUAGAAAACCACUCUGCAUUUCCAGAAAGUGACUUGUUCCAAGCCCCCUAGAUGUGCCUGGUACUUUAUGAAGCAUGUAAAUUCUGCCUACCCAAGUCACUGACGCUCUAAGUGAAGGAUACAACAGGGGGAGGAGAGAAGAACAUGAGGAAGCUCCGAGAGUUUGUUCAGCCAGCUCGAAACAGGACGCAGUAUAUGAACCAGUGCUUUCUCACCACUCACCUGACAAGGCUAUUCCAGGUCUCACACACCCACAGGGCUGACUCAGCCUGCACAUCUGGAGUGGCACAAAGCUGAUGGAGUGGAUGGCCCUUAGUCUCCAUGCAUUUGUGCCAUCAAACACAGAAGUCAGGGAAAGGGGAACAUAUUCGUGUCUGACUACUGUUCGCUGUGUGCUUUUCUCAGUGUUUUAUAUUCUGCAAAUGAAGGGUUAAUGAGUUCUAAAAAUAUAUGCAUGUGGGUUAAACAGAUCUCUCUAUCUA